UAUGUGAUCGUCUCUCGCAUAUCAAUAAGCGGAGGAAAAGAAACUAACAAGGAUUCCCCUAGUAACGGCGAGUGAAGCGGGAAGAGCUCAAAUUUGAAAUCUUAAAGGGUUUCCCUUUACGAAUUGUAGUUUAAAGAAGCUGUUUUCUGUUGAGGUUUUGGUAAAAGUUCUUUGGAAUAGGACAUCAUAGAGGGUGAGAAUCCCGUAUUUGACCUUUACUUUCAACUUUGUGAUACACUUUCAAAGAGUCGGAUUGUUUGGGAAUGCAGUCCAAAAUGGGUGGUAAAUUUCAUCUAAAGCUAAAUAUUGGCGAGAGACCGAUAGCGAACAAGUACCGUGAGGGAAAGAUGAAAAGAACUUUGAAAAGAGAGUUAAACAGUACGUGAAAUUGUCAAAAGGGAAGCGUUUGACACCAGUGUUGUUUUUCUGAAAAUCAAUUAAAGAACUGUUUAUGCUAAGCUGUUUAGACUUUAUCAGCUAACUGUUUAGUUUUGAGCUUUUCUUUAAUGCACUUUUCAGUUAACAAGUCAACAUCAAUUUCUUUUGCUGUAAAAAAGCUUGAGGAAGGUGGCUUGAGAUUCGUCUUAAGUGUUUAUAGCCUCUUGCCUAUGCAGUCGGAGAGAUUGAGGUCUGCAGCGUAGAUCCUUCGGGGCUAAAUGCAUUUGUGCUAAGUUAUAGCAUUUUAUAGACAACUUGUUGACUAUGAUUUGUCUUGUAGCUUACUCGCUUAUGUUAUUUUACCUACGCUUAGGAUGUUGACACACGCGCGUGCUCG
This 775-nucleotide ribosomal RNA is filed under the name uncultured Neocallimastigales. RNAcentral describes it as "partial large subunit ribosomal RNA". It matches the Rfam family "Eukaryotic large subunit ribosomal RNA", at positions 24 to 643 of the family's 3401-position model. Lineage: Eukaryota; Fungi; Neocallimastigomycota; Neocallimastigomycetes; Neocallimastigales. The record is from RNAcentral.